CCAUCACAGAUCAAAAGAUUAUUUGCACAAUUAUAGCAUUGAGACAAUCACUAACGAUUGAGUAGAAAUUCAAGUGAUCUCUCUUAUGGUCACGCUCAGUACUAAUUAUUCUCUAACAACUAUCCGUACUCAUCACUCAGUAUCUUUAUACUAUAGAUCAGAGAUUCAUCUACGUCAAAAGAAGCGAUCUAUGCAUCGAUCUAUCUAGAUCGAUCGCCAUCCUCAUGAUAAUAU
Molecule: long non-coding RNA, 234 nt
Filed under: Elaeis guineensis (African oil palm)
Lineage: Eukaryota; Viridiplantae; Streptophyta; Magnoliopsida; Arecales; Arecaceae
Description: long non-coding RNA (EGUI_LNC071865)
Source: RNAcentral